GCGAGUUUUCGCUCACUCAUGUUCGAGGGAAAAUUGCUUGCGUGCAUGGGGAGGAUGGAUGCGUUUGACCAUAAGAAGCACCCAAAAUCCUAAAAUUGUAGAUCGCCUGUCGUCACACGCCAUGCCACGUGUGAAAAUGUCUGUUGUUUAGCUUAGUGAGAGGCAAGUAGGUCGGACUCGGGGGUCAGUUUCAGAGCAAUUGAGGCAAAGGGGUUGGGCCAUGAGACCAUGUGCCUAAUUAGCACCAUUGUCAAAAUGGACGUUUUCCAAUUCCAGGUAAAACACGAGGCGUUCCCAGUGUGACUUCGAUCACGCAGCCACGGCAGCCAGGUCUAACAACGGGCUUGUGAGGUGCCUCGGACUACAAGGUUGCACGGUUUCAACAUCUGCGAAGUAGUUAGUGGUUUGCGCCUGCCAUUCUAGUCUUCACGGAUGUUCAUUGUGGCUUUCCAGGUUACUUGGAUAGGGACUCGGUGAUAUGCCCGCAUGCAGGUUUGGGCAGGGAACAUCACAAGAACUUACAAGACCAAGUGCUUGCGGCAUUUGCGAGUUUUCGCUCACUCAUGUUCGAGGGAAACAUGCUUGCGUGCAUGGGGAGGAUGGAUGCGUUUGACCUUAAGAAGCACCCAAAAUCACGCGUGAAAAAAUGUCUGUUGUUUAGAUUAGUGAGAGGCAAGUAGGUCGGACUCGGGGGUCAGUUUCAGAGGAAUUGAGGGAAGGGGGUUGGGCCAUGAGACCAUGUGCCUAAUUAGCACCAUUGUCAAAAAUGGACGUUUUCCAAUUCCAGGCAAAACACGAGGCGUUCCCAGUGUGACUUCGAUCACGCAGCCACGGCAGCCAGGUCUAACAACGGGCUUGUGAGGUGCCUCGGACUACAAGGUUGCACGGUUUCAACAUCUGCGAAGUAGUUAGUGGUUUGCGCCUGCCAUUCUAGUCUUCACGGAUGUUCAUUGUGGCUUUCCAGGUUACUUGGAUAGGGACUCGGUGAUAUGCCCGCAUGCAGGUUUGGGCAGGGAACAUCACAAGAACUUACAAGACCAAGUGCUUGCGGCAUUUGCGAGUUUUCGCUCACUCAUGUUCGAGGGAAACAUGCUUGCGUGCAUGGGGAGGAUGGAUGCGUUUGACCUUAAGAAGCACCCAAAAUCCUAAAAUUGUAGAUCGCCUGUCGUCACACGCAUGCCACGCUGAAAAUGUCUGUUAUUUAAUUAGUGAGAGGCAAGUAGGUCGGACUCGGGGGUCAGUUUCAGAGGAAUUGAGGGAAGGGGGUGGGGCCAUGAGACCAUGUGCCUUAUUAGCACCAUUGUCAAAAAUGGACGUUUCCCAAUUCCAGGCAAAACACGAGGCGUUCCCAGUGUGACUUCGAUCACGCAGCCACGGCAGCCAGGUCUAACAACGGGCUUGUGAGGUGCCUCGGACUACAAGGUUGCACGGUUUCAACAUCUGCGAAGUAGUUAGUGGUUUGCGCCUGCCAUUCUAGUCUUCACGGAUGUUCAUUGUGGCUUUCCAGGUUACUUGGAUAGGGACUCGGUGAUAUGCCCGCAUGCAGGUUUGGGCAGGGAACAUCACAAGAACUUACAAGACCAAGUGCUUGCGGCAUUUGCGAGUUUUCGCUCACUCAUGUUCGAGGGAAACAUGCUUGCGUGCAUGGGGAGGAUGGAUGCGUUUGACCUUAAGAAGCACGCCAUGCCACGCGUGAAAAUGUCUGUUGUUUAGAUUAGUGAGAGGCAAGUAG
Molecule: long non-coding RNA, 1732 nt
Filed under: Volvox carteri
Lineage: Eukaryota; Viridiplantae; Chlorophyta; Chlorophyceae; Chlamydomonadales; Volvocaceae
Description: long non-coding RNA (VCAR_LNC001676)
Source: RNAcentral